Manis pentadactyla (Chinese pangolin) is the source of this 425-nucleotide long non-coding RNA. RefSeq lists it as uncharacterized. The record is from RefSeq and is a predicted model, not a curated record. NCBI's taxonomy places the organism in Eukaryota, Metazoa, Chordata, Mammalia, Pholidota, Manidae. The transcript is spliced from 2 exons.
CCCAAUCGGGCGAGGCGCUGUCUCCGCGUGGGCGGGACUUGGCGCGCGCAGGCGGUGCCGCCCCCUCCGCCCCGGAGCCGCGAGCUGCCCGCCGGCACCUCCUGCCGGUGCCCGCCUCGGGGAGAUGCGUGGGCCAACCGCCCCGGGGGAGUAAGAAGAUACGGUUUGGGUCCCUCCUUUUCAUCCGCCUUGCGCUCUUGCCUGUGACCAUCCAGCUGGAGGCCGCUGCCCCGAGCGCUUUCCUAGCAGUCAUGCCGCCAAUAGCCUGCUAGCCUGCGUGAGCUCUUUAGUACAGGGGACAAAUGCAUCCUGCUUUGCAACCUCAGGGCCUUGAUAAUUAAAUAGAUGAACAACACCGGUUUUAUUCUUGGAUGAAGACUGCACAAAAAUAAGUUAUCCUGGAAUAAAUGUUUAAAUAUUUUAGG